GAUGAACGCUAGCGGCAGGCUUAACACAUGCAAGUCGAGGGGCAGCACGUCUUCGGAUGGUGGCGACCGGCGCACGGGUGCGUAACGCGUAUAGAACCUACCUUUUACAGGGGAAUAGCCCAGAGAAAUUUGGAUUAAUGCCCCAUAGUAUUAUUAGAUGGCAUCAUUUGGUAAUUAAACAUUUAUGGGUAAAAGAUGGCUAUGCGUUCUAUUAGCUAGAUGGUAAGGUAACGGCUUACCAUGGCGACGAUAGAUAGGGGUCCUGAGAGGGAGAUCCCCCACACUGGUACUGAGACACGGACCAGACUCCUACGGGAGGCAGCAGUGAGGAAUAUUGGACAAUGGGCGAGAGCCUGAUCCAGCCAUGCCGCGUGCAGGAAGACGGUCCUAUGGAUUGUAAACUGCUUUUAUACAGGAAGAAACACUCCCUCGUGAGGGAAUUUGACGGUACUGUAUGAAUAAGCACCGGCUAACUCCGUGCCAGCAGCCG
RNAcentral lists this ribosomal RNA (490 nucleotides) under uncultured bacterium. Its description in RNAcentral is "bacterial SSU rRNA". It matches the Rfam family "Bacterial small subunit ribosomal RNA", at positions 28 to 517 of the family's 1533-position model. The record is from RNAcentral.